AUAUGUCCUCUACUCGUCUGACACUUACUCCGAGUUCACCUGAUCUUUAGAAAAAUCAUGGUAAAAUUUAAUGAGCUCCAAUGGCUCAGUAAGUCUUCCUAUUAUUCUAAUACCUUAGUCUGGCAUCAUGCAAUGCCCACAUACAUGUAAUAAAUGCAAUAUAAAGAUCUCCAAAUCAAUAUUCUUUAUAAUUUUUUCACAGUGCUUUGAACUUUACAAUCUUUAAUUUUAAUAAUUCACUCAUCCUUAAUAAUUAAUUUUCAUCUCAUAACUUCACACAUUUUCACUCAAAUAUCAUAAUUAGACUCGAAUAUCACUUACAUACUCAGAUAUCACACUUACUCUCGAAUAUCACAUGUAUACUCAUAUUACAUUUACACUCGAAAUAUCACAUCUAAAGUUUCAUUGUAUGAUACUGUUUAUAUUUUCAUCAAGGAGAGAGGAGGAUCCCACUAUUACAUGGAUAACACACGCACAUCUCACAUUGACCAAACUAGGUACAUUAUGUAGGUGACCCGAACACAAUAUACCUAUUCACGUAUGGACUAGGUUUCUUAUUUUUAUCCAUGUGCAGGUUCACAAUAAUACCCACUGAAUUUCAGCCACCUACAUAUACUAUCCUCUUUGAUUCCGACUAAAUGAGUAAGGUUCUUAAGGUCCUUAUACUCUACACUCAUGCCAAAUUCCUUCACUUUCAACUCACUUCUUUAAUUAAAUUUGCUUUAUUCAUACUUAAUUUAUUAUUUCCUCAAUAUUAUUCUUUUUGUUUAUUUGUUCUUUAUAAUUAAAUCCACUUUUCUAAUCCUUUUUCCCUAUUUAUAGUAAUCACUAUUAAUUUUAUUUUCUUUAUUGUUUUUACUUAAUUUUUAAUUGAUAAAUUUUUUUUCUCUCUCUGUAACUCCAUUAGCCAAUUUUUUUUUUUAAUUUUAUUAAUUUUAUUUUACGUUAAAUUGUUCUUAUCACAAUUCUUAAAUUUCCAAUUCCUUCCCAUGCACGAUCACACAACAAUUAUUCAAUUACACAAUUACCAAGGAAACAAGAAUACAAGCAUGCAACCAUCACUGAUCAAAUGUCUUGAACUCCAUCUUGGCAGUUCACUUUGCCUGGACAGUAUCCAGGUUCUAUUCUUCUCAGUUCUCUGCACUUGUUCUAACGUCAAGCUAACUAAUUAAAGAAAAUCACAUAUAGAAAUUUAAAUCCCAAACCCAGGCAUAUAAUGAAUGAUAUACUUUCAAAUAUUUCCUCAUGAAUUCAAGCUUCUGCAAAGGUCCUAUAAACACAAAAAUUUCUUUCACGCAAGCAUGAUUAAGAUUUAUUUGUAAACAUACCUAAUGAACCUUAAAUUAGAACCUAAAAGUAUUAAAUCACUUAUGUUUUACAGGUUUUGAAACCUUACUGUGAAAACUCGGAUACUAGUGCUCGAUGGAUUACCGUUCGACUCAUCACGUUGGUGUGAGUGCCUUGGCUUCUGGAACCUGUGCGCACACAUUAAUACACACUCCCACAAAAAAUUGAUGACGAAAGAGGAGAGAGGAAUCACUUAGUUUGAGACUCUGUGUCAUAAAGACUCGAAACAACCUCGGGUUCAAAUAUUCCCCUUCUUCCUUCCUUUUUCUUCUUCGGUUGCUCCUCUUCUUUCUUUCUCUUUCUCUCUUCUUCCUUCUCUCAAUCACCGACGCUCCUCCUCUCUCUCUUCUCAAACUCUACUGUCUCUCUCUUUUGAAUGAGAGGAACCCCGAUUAGGGUUUUGUUUUUAUGUUAUUCGCCAUUGCUA
RNAcentral lists this long non-coding RNA (1774 nucleotides) under Carica papaya (papaya). RNAcentral's name for it is "long non-coding RNA (CPAP_LNC010128)". The record is from RNAcentral. Lineage: Eukaryota; Viridiplantae; Streptophyta; Magnoliopsida; Brassicales; Caricaceae.